This 472-nucleotide ribosomal RNA is filed under the name uncultured bacterium. Its description in RNAcentral is "partial 16S ribosomal RNA". It matches the Rfam family "Bacterial small subunit ribosomal RNA", at positions 28 to 507 of the family's 1533-position model. The record is from RNAcentral.
GACGAACGCUGGCGGCGUGCUUAACACAUGCAAGUCGAACGCUGAAGCCUGGUGCUUGUACUGGGCGGAUGAGUGGAGAACGGGUGAGACAUACGAGAGUCACCUGCCCUAGACUCUGGGAUCAGCAUGGAACACUGGCUCUUAUACUGGAUACGACCUGUCUCCGUAUGGUGGUGUGUGGAAAGGCUUUUGGUGGUUUUGGAUGGGCUCGCGGCCUAUCAGCUUGUUGGUGGGGUAGUGGCUCACCAAGGCGCCGACGGGUAGCCGGCCUGAGAGGGUGACCGGCCACACUGGGACUGAGACACGGCCCAGACUCCUACGGGAGGCAGCAGUGGGGAAUAUUGCACAAUGGGCGGAAGCCUGAUGCAGCGACGCCGCGUGAGGGAUGACGGCCUUCGGGUUGUAAACCGCUUUCGGCUCGGAAGAAGCGUAAGUGACGGUACUUGCAGAAGAAGCGCCGGCUAACUACGUG